AGUCGUUAUAAAAAGGAUUGAAGAUUUAUCUGAUUGAGAUUUUAUAACAAUGGCUUUAGUGGCGGACUGGUGAGUAACGCGUGAGCAACCUGCCUACUAGAGGGGAAUAACAGUGAGAAAUCAUUGCUAAUACCGCAUAUGCCAUGAACAUCACAUGAUGAAAAUGGGAAAAGAGUAAUCUGCUAGUAGAUGGGCUCGCGUCUGAUUAGAUAGUUGGUGGGGUAACGGCCUACCAAGUCAACGAUCAGUAGCCGGACUGAGAGGUUGAACGGCCACAUUGGGACUGAGAUACGGCCCAGACUCCUACGGGAGGCAGCAGUCGGGAAUAUUGCGCAAUGGAGGAAACUCUGACGCAGUGACGCCGCGUAUAGGAAGAAGGUUUUCGGAUUGUAAACUAUUGUCGUUAGGGAAGAUACAAGACAGUACCUAAGGAGGAAGCUCCGGCUAACUACGUGCCAGCAGCCGCGGUAAUACGUAGGGAGCAAGCGUUAUCCGGAUUUAUUGGGUGUAAAGGGUGCGUAGACGGGACAACAAGUUAGUUGUGAAAUCCCUCGGCUUAACUGAGGAACUGCAACUAAAACUAUUGUUCUUGAGUGUUGGAGAGGAAAGUGGAAUUCCUAGUGUAGCGGUGAAAUGCGUAGAUAUUAGGAGGAACACCGGUGG
RNAcentral lists this ribosomal RNA (663 nucleotides) under uncultured bacterium. RNAcentral describes it as "bacterial SSU rRNA". It matches the Rfam family "Bacterial small subunit ribosomal RNA", at positions 60 to 715 of the family's 1533-position model. The record is from RNAcentral.